Non-coding RNA from Schistosoma mattheei, 45 nucleotides. NCBI's taxonomy places the organism in Eukaryota, Metazoa, Platyhelminthes, Trematoda, Strigeidida, Schistosomatidae. The record is from Rfam.
AUCCAGCUAACGAGUCCCAAAUAGGACGAAACUAGCGUUCUGGAU